Molecule: ribosomal RNA, 253 nt
Filed under: uncultured bacterium
Lineage: Bacteria
Description: partial 16S ribosomal RNA
Rfam family: Bacterial small subunit ribosomal RNA
Source: RNAcentral
UACGGAGGGUGCAAGCGUUAAUCGGAAUUACUGGGCGUAAAGCGCACGCAGGCGGUCUGUAAAGUCGGAUGUGAAAUCCCCGGGCUCAACCCAUGAAGUGCAUUCGAAACUGGCAGACUUGAGUCUUGUAGAGGGGGGUAGAAUUCCAGGUGUAGCGGUGAAAUGCGUAGAGAUCUGGAGGAGUACCGGUGGCGAAGGCGGCCCCCUGGACAAAGACUGACGCUCAGGUGCGAAAGCGUGGGGAGCAAACAGG